RNAcentral lists this ribosomal RNA (486 nucleotides) under uncultured bacterium. RNAcentral describes it as "partial 16S ribosomal RNA". It matches the Rfam family "Bacterial small subunit ribosomal RNA", at positions 30 to 507 of the family's 1533-position model. The record is from RNAcentral.
AUUGAACGCUGGCGGCAUGCCUUACACAUGCAAGUCGAACGGCAGCACGGGUGCUUGCACCUGGUGGCGAGUGGCGAACGGGUGAGUAAUACAUCGGAACAUGUCCUGUAGUGGGGGAUAGCCCGGCGAAAGCCGGAUUAAUACCGCAUACGAUCUACGGAUGAAAGCGGGGGACCUUCGGGCCUCGCGCUAUAGGGUUGGCCGAUGUCUGAUUAGCUAGUUGGUGGGGUAAAGGCCUACCAAGGCGACGAUCAGUAGAUGGUCUGAGAGGACGACCAGCCACACUGGGACUGAGACACGGCCCAGACUCCUACGGGAGGCAGCAGUGGGGAAUUUUGGACAAUGGGCGAAAGCCUGAUCCAGCAAUGCCGCGUGUGUGAAGAAGGCCUUCGGGUUGUAAAGCACUUUUGUCCGGAAAGAAAUCCUUGGCUCUAAUACAGUCGGGGGAUGACGGUACCGGAAGAAUAAGCACCGGCUAACUACGUG